Molecule: long non-coding RNA, 700 nt
Organism: Pyrus x bretschneideri (Chinese white pear)
Lineage: Eukaryota; Viridiplantae; Streptophyta; Magnoliopsida; Rosales; Rosaceae
Exons: 4
Source: RefSeq, a predicted model, not a curated record
AAACCUUUGCUUUGUUUUGUUUUUUUAUUUUAUGUAUCUUUGCUUUCCUUUACUCUUCUGAAUAUUUAUUUAUAAAUUUUCUUCAUAGACGAGCGUUGUUUUCACUCUUGAAGAAGGUCCUGGUGUACUAUUUAAAGCCUUAGCAGUAUUUGCUCUUAGGGGCAUUAACUUGACAAAGAUAGAGAGUCGCCCACAGAAGCAACGUCCACUAAGGGUUGUGGAUGAUUCAAAUGAAGGGAGUGCCAAGUAUUUCGACUACCUCUUUUACAUUGACUUUGAGGCUUCUAUGGCAGAGCCCCGUGCCCAAUAUGCUUUGGGACAUCUGCAGGAAUUUGCAACAUUUCUUCGUGUCCUUGGUAGCUACCCAAUGGACACGAUUCCAUAGAAGGCAGUCGUUUCUUGGGCUCAAUUUCGUAAUGGUUUUGGUUUCCAGACAUGCAAACACAGUUCAACCUUCAAUGUUGUAUAUAUGUGGGCGCUGAAGCUGCAUACACAGAUCAAGCUUCAAAUGAGGAGACAAUUCCUUGCAAAGCUUCAUUUUUCUUUCCUUUUCGACUCUAUAUCAUUCUUUAUUUCCUCUGAACGGGGGUUUUUACUGUUUCAGGACUGUCUUGAUAUCUUGAUACAACACCGGGAGGGUCCCUCCCGACUACCCAAAGUACAAUCUGUAAACAACACCGCAGGAUUCAUGAAAGACAGA